Molecule: non-coding RNA, 125 nt
Organism: Daucus carota subsp. sativus
Lineage: Eukaryota; Viridiplantae; Streptophyta; Magnoliopsida; Apiales; Apiaceae
Source: Rfam
GAGCAAGGGCGUGAAGUUAUAAUGACGAAAACUUGCAUUGAAGGUUGGCAAUAAUGAAAAGCGAUUCUCCGUGCCCAUCAAAGCUAAUUUCAUUUUGAUUGCGGCCUCGAACAAAUCGCUACAUU